CCCUCGUCCCUCCUGACCACGGGUGCUCCAAACUGGCACCGCUUCCCCCUGGGUGCUUGACGUGGCUUCCCCGAGGCCCAUCCCAGCGUGGCCUGGCGCCCACUGCUGUCCUGGGCUAUAAAAACCUGUAUGCUGGGGUCUCCGGUGCUGCCCGCCCCCAGCACUGCCCACCAGGCUGGCCGACCUCACUGCUCUACUGAAAUGGCACCAACCAGCCUUGCCCUGGCAGCAACCUCUGCCUCAUUCUGCUCCAGCAGGCACCAGCCAACCACUUUCCAGAGAACCUCGGACCCUCAGACGUGUGCUCCCGCCCUGGUCUUGAAUCCCCAAGGCUGUCACAAAGGGCAGACAAAUCUUCUGCUUUCCUGCAUGUUUGAACUGGUGAAGAGGCCCAACAAGAAAUGCAAAAUUUGA
Molecule: long non-coding RNA, 414 nt
Filed under: Dasypus novemcinctus (nine-banded armadillo)
Lineage: Eukaryota; Metazoa; Chordata; Mammalia; Cingulata; Dasypodidae
Description: lncRNA (ENSDNOG00000051722.1)
Source: RNAcentral